CCGCAACGAGCGCAACCCUUAAGCUUAGUUGCCAUCAUUAAGUUGGGCACUCUAAGUUGACUGCCGGUGACAAACCGGAGGAAGGUGGGGAUGACGUCAAAUCAUCAUGCCCCUUAUGAUUUGGGCUACACACGUGCUACAAUGGACAAUACAAAGGGCAGCGAAACCGCGAGGUCAAGCAAAUCCCAUAAAGUUGUUCUCAGUUCGGAUUGUAGUCUGCAACUCGACUACAUGAAGCUGGAAUCGCUAGUAAUCGUAGAUCAGCAUGCUACGGUGAAUACGUUCCCGGGUCUUGUACACACCGCCCGUCACACCACGAGAGUUUGUAACACCCGAAGCCGGUGGAGUAACCUUUUAGGAGCUAGCCGUCGAAGGUGGGACAAAUGAUUGGGGUGAAGUCGUAACAAGGUAGCCGUAUCGGAAGGUGCGGCUGGAUCACCUCCUUU
RNAcentral lists this ribosomal RNA (446 nucleotides) under Staphylococcus aureus. RNAcentral's name for it is "bacterial SSU rRNA". It matches the Rfam family "Bacterial small subunit ribosomal RNA", at positions 1087 to 1533 of the family's 1533-position model. The record is from RNAcentral. Lineage: Bacteria; Bacillati; Bacillota; Bacilli; Caryophanales; Staphylococcaceae.